Long non-coding RNA from Bos taurus (domestic cattle), 1880 nucleotides. The record is from Ensembl. Lineage: Eukaryota; Metazoa; Chordata; Mammalia; Artiodactyla; Bovidae.
GAAAAUCCAAACUUUUAACCUUAACUGCCUACUUAACAUUUCCUCAUCAUUGGUUCCCCUCAAUUUGCUCUUCAUAUAGUCUUCCCUGUAUUGGUUAAUUAGCAAUUCCAUGUGUCUAGUUACUAAGACCAAGAACCUUGAAGAAAUCAUUGAAUUUCCCCACUCUGUUUCUUUCAUCCUUCACUCCAUCAGCAAAUUGUGUCAGCUUUGCAAAAUACAUUUCCAGUUCACAUUACUUCUGCUGUGAGAUGCCUGGUCCAUACCACCAUCAUCUAUCUCAUAGAUUAUCUUAAGAGUUCCUAAGUAAUCUCUUCCCAGGUGGCUCAGUGGUAAAGAAUCUGCCUACAAUGAAGAGAUGCGAGUUCAGUCUUUGGCUGUUAAGAUCCCCUGGAGAAGGAAAUGGCAACCUACUCCAGUAUACUUGCCUGAAAAAUCCUAUGGACAGAGGAGCCUGGUGGGUUACAGACCAAAGGGUCACAAAAGAGUCAAACAUGACUUGGCAACUAAACAACAACAAAAUAAUCUCUGUUUGUACCUGUGUACUUUCUCAAUACAGCAGCCAAACUUAACAAUCCAAAACCAAACCUCAUGACCCCCACUCUCUACACACAACACACACACACACACAGAGAGACAAAAUCUGGUCCCACUUCUGAAACGUAUAUCUCCCACUGCUUUCCUCCUUGCUUGUUCUGCUGAGCUUCAUUGACCUGGUAUUUAGAUGGACAUUCCAGGGACUCUUGCUUCAAGUCUUCUUUAUUAGCUCUUUCUCUGUCUGGAGACACUUCUCAGAUAAUUUUUUGGAUCACUUUAUUACCUUAUCAAGUAUAUUUCAAUUGGAGGACAUUCUGUGUGUGUGUGUGUGUGUGUGUGUGUGUGUGUGUGUAUGCGUGUAUGCUCAGUCAUCCAGUUGUGUCUGACUCUUGUGACUCCGUGGACUGUGUAGCCUGCCAAGCUCCUCUGUCCAUGGAAUUGUCUAGGCAAGAAUAUUGGAGUGGGUUGUCAUUUUCUUCUCCAGAGGAUCAUCCUGACCCAGGGAUUGAACCUGUGUCUCCUGCGUCUCCUGCAUUGGCAGGCAGAUUCUUUACCACUGUGCCACCUGGGAAGCCCCUGACCACCUGUUUUGAAAUGUGACCUUCCUAUCCACCUGCUCCCCUUAGGUCCCCCCUCCCCUUCCCCCGCUUUAUUUUUCUUCAUUAUAUUUACAGCUGUAUGGUUUAGUCACUAAGUUGUAUCUGACUCUUGUGACUCCAUGGGCUGUAGCCAGCCAGGCUUCUCUGCCCGUGGGAUUCUCCAGGCAAGAAUGCUGGAGUGGGUUGCCACUUCCUCCUCCACAGCUGUGUGGCAUACUGUAUAGUUUACUUAAUGUUUAGUUUCUUUACUAGAUUGUAUACUCCACGGACACGGAUUUUUGUUCAAUGCUGUAUCUGGCACGUAACAAGCUCUCAGUAAAUGUUAAAUAAAUACACAGACUUGAAUUUUUUAAAUUCCAAAUGCGUCUACAUGAUUAGUAGUCUUACCUAAUGUUUUUGAUGUCCUUACAGAGAUCAUGUUACUUUGUUUUUCAUUCUGUAAUUAUGACUAAUUCAGGGCAAGUAAUUUAAUUUCUCUGGGCUACAGUUUUCUGUAAAGAGGGUUAUACUAAGUGAACUUUAAUCUCCCCUGUAGCUCUAACAUUCUACAAAUUCAUUAAUUAUGUUUUACACCUUUGACCUCACUAAUUCUCCAUUUUCAUUUGCUCUUCAUGACGAGUCGUGGACUCGUACAUUUUACUUGUAGAUAGCACGAUAGUGUUAGACAAGUUCACUCUCUUCAACUCUGACUCCAAUAUUAAUCUUGUCAGAGUAAAUGCAUGUUCAGUAGGGUCAUAGUGGACUAGG